UCCUUGGCCUCAAAGGAUCCUCCUGUCUGGGUCUCUCAAACUGCUGGGAAUACAAGCAUGAGCCACCACAGCUGACGAACAGCUAUUUUUGAAUAAAGUAAAGGAAGAGAGGGAGGGAGAGAAGAAGGAAGAAGAAAAAAAAGAAAAGAAGUGAAGGAGGGUUAACUACAGCCAAAGAAAAAGAAGCAGCCCAACAGAGAGCUCAGGAAAAUUACACUUCAUACAUCCAACUGCUAUGGAAGAGGAUGGAGGUGAGAAGCGGAGGGAGAAAGAAGGAUGUGAUAUUCCAUCCCCAUUAAGAAAAUUUUUCAAGCCCCCAAUCUGAACCUACUGAAUCAGAAUUUGAGGAGAUGAGACCUGUAUACCUAGAUUUUCAAAAGACUCUCAACUCUAUCCACUCUCAUCACUUCUAUUUAACAUUAUACUGGAGGUCCUGGCCAGGGAAGUAAGGACACAAUUGGAGAAACUGGUUAUUUUGCCAAGGCUUUGAUGGGAAUGGCGUGGUUCCCUUUAAGGAAGCAAAUUUGACUUAUAGAGCCAAUAAAAGCCCCUUGGGAAAACUGGCCUCAUACCUUGUCUACACAGUACUUGUACAGGGCUCCUGACCUAUGCUAUGCGGUUCAGCGGGAUGACCCCGCUACGGAGCAUUAUUGUCUCAUUCCAGUCGAAUGGACCAAUCACAUAGCAAUGUGUGACCUUGAGACUGGAGAAGGAAUUGAGCCUAACUUCAUCCCCCACCCCCUUCCAACCUCCAUUCUACCUCUACUUCCAGCAUUUUCUUACUUGCAGACCCAGAAGAGGUUGGAGGUCCUGGCCAGUCUCUCACUCUUUUCCUUCUUCACUCACAUUUUUAUGUGUCUUUAAGUGGCUGGGAACAGCCAUGUUGACUCCAUACACCCAGAAGUUUGAGGAGAGUUUGCUAUUACAUCACUUCUGCUAAUUUCAGCUCUGCUGUUGAGCACACAGACCUCAGCAAAUCAACCAGACCAUUUCCAACCCCUCUUGACUUUAAGAAGACUGGGUCAUGCUCUGAGAAAUGAAAGCAGAGAAGGAGAUGGCUUGCAAGCCCCCUGAGGUUACCACGAUAAGUUGGCUUGAGAGGGAGGUAAAAGCAAUUCAGAGGACCACUUGGGAAAGCCCAGACAGGAUAUUAUCAGUGGCGUGUGUAAAGUUCCCAUCACCAUCUAAAGUGAAAGAUGCCAGAAUUAUAAAAACUGACUGCAUUAUCUUCUCAGCUCUGCUUUGUGACUUCUAAGAAUUCAACUGCUUUUCUAUUUUAAAAUAGGGACAUUGUCCUCCUUCUCAAUGCAUCACCUGUAUCAUUUGGGACAUGCCCAUCAUCAGGUUGCUUUGACUGAACACCUUAAACAUUUCAUGGAAAACAGAAAAUAUGUGAAAAAAAAAAUCUCCUCCUAGUCACGAGAUCCCAUAUAACACUCCAGCUUCUUCUUUAAUGUGGUGGAAAAACAUUCUAAAUACCCCAACAGAAGGGCAAGAAAACUGGAACCUAACUGACCAUCUUGAAACAUGUAAUAAAAACGGACACAUCAACCACACUUCCCAAGAGGCUUGCUCCCUGAAUGUACACUAGUAAUUAUCUGAGGCGGUAACUGAAUUCAGCUAAAAUAGAGAAGGCAGCUAUAGAGAAGCUCAGCGCUUCUCUCAAGAGCCCCUAAUCCUGCUGGAUUCCAGUCCACUGGGUCAUGAUGCCCUAAGAUUUCAAGAGCUGUGGCUGCAAACUGGAAAUUCUCCAAGGGGAAGAGCAUUCUUGAUUCUUUUUGGACAUAAGUGUUGGACACAGGUGGUAGGAAAUCAUUUCUAACAUAGCUUUCUGAGGGGCACUUACACCAAAAGUUGGGCAUUUUUUUAACCACAUCCAAGAAGUGUGGAUUUAUUUAUUCUAUUAUAUACCUGCCUCAAUUCCAGCAGCAGUUUGGUAGAGGUUAUCAACUUAGAAAUACCGGUUAUUAAACUUUCAGAGCAAGGCUUUAACAGCUACAGCCUACAUGGCUGUUCAUAUAAAACCGACGUGCAAAUAAGAGGAAUUUCUUUUUCU
RNAcentral lists this long non-coding RNA (2056 nucleotides) under Homo sapiens (human). Its description in RNAcentral is "HSALNT0332604". The record is from RNAcentral. Lineage: Eukaryota; Metazoa; Chordata; Mammalia; Primates; Hominidae.